Long non-coding RNA from Micropterus dolomieu (smallmouth bass), 1002 nucleotides. RefSeq lists it as uncharacterized. Lineage: Eukaryota; Metazoa; Chordata; Actinopteri; Centrarchiformes; Centrarchidae. The transcript is spliced from 6 exons. The record is from RefSeq and is a predicted model, not a curated record.
UCCCACGGUCCCACCCAACCCAGCACAUCUGGCAAUAUUUCAUCCAGCACAUCCUACAGUACAUACCUUGACCUGUUUGAGGAAGAAUACCUCUCUGAUGACCCUGAUCUACAGGAAGCCAUUUCACGGUCUUUAGAUUCCAGUGCUAGUGAGAGUGAUUUAAAGAUGACUUUAGAGAGAAUAAUGGAGCGGAUUGCUUCUCGAGUAAAUAAUGACAGCACUGUACGCUUCAAUAUCAUAAGAAGAAAUGUGUGGGAUGGAGCAUCCAGAGCCAUGGGCAGAUCCAAUUUUUCACCCGAGAAGAAGGUAGAUGUUAAGUUCACUGAUGACUAUGGAAUAUCUGAGGGUGCUGUGGACAAUGGAGGACCUACUCAGGAGUUUUUCCGACUCUGUCUACAUGAAAUCAAGGACAACAUUGGCAUCUUUGAGGGUCCCCCUAAUGCUAAAGUCCUCACAUGCAACUCCAAAGCGAUGAAAGACAAUGGAUACUUCUACGAUGGCCAGAUCAUGGCAAUUUCAAUUGCCCAUGGGGGGCAGAGUCCAUGUUUCCUGUCUGAACUCUUGUGAGUGUCUUCAAAAGGGUCCAGACAACGUAAAGGUCAAAACUGAACACAUUACUGAUGAAGAAACAAGGUCACAGGUGCAGUCGAUCUUACAGGCUGAGACUGAUUCACAACUGCAAGAGGCAGUUGCACAGGCAGCCAGCUUGAUCAGUCUUGCUGGUCACAAUGUUCGCAUAACACUGGAAAACAAACAAGAGACUGCUUUGGACUUGGCUCACUGGUAUGUCCUCCAGCGAACCCGUGCACCAUUUGAAAGGUUCAGAGAUGGGUUAACAUCUCUUGGUGUCCUAGAUGCUAUCCAGAGAUACCCUCUACAAAUAAAGUGCCUUUUUGUGAAGCCCGAAAAGGGUUUAACAGCUGCUGAUGUGGAGAAUCUCCUCCAGAUCAUACACUCUGAAAGAGGGAGUAAUGCAUUCCGAGAAGAGUGCCGGGCCCUGGC